RNAcentral lists this ribosomal RNA (440 nucleotides) under uncultured bacterium. Its description in RNAcentral is "partial 16S ribosomal RNA". It matches the Rfam family "Bacterial small subunit ribosomal RNA", at positions 338 to 795 of the family's 1533-position model. The record is from RNAcentral.
CCUACGGGAGACUGCAGUGGGGAAUAUUGCACAAUGGGGGAAACCCUGAUGCAGCGACGCCGCGUGAGUGAAGAAGUAUUUCGGUAUGUAAAGCUCUAUCAGCAGGGAAGAAAAUGACGGUACCUGAUUAAGAAGCCCCGGCUAAAUACGUGCCAGCAGCCGCGGUCAUACGUAGGGUGCACGCGUUAUCCGGAUUUACUGGGUGUAAAGGGAGCGUAGACGGCAGCACAAGUCUGGAGGGAAAUGCCGGGGCUUAACCCCGGAACUGCUUUGGAAACUGUGCAGCUAGAGUGCAGGAGAGGUAAGUGGAAUUCCAAGUGUAGCGGUGAAAUGCGUAGAUAUUAGGAGGAACACCAGUGGCGAAGGCGGCUUACUGGACUGUAACUGACGUUGAGGCUCGAAAGCGUGGGGAGCAAACAGGAUUAGAUACCCUAGUAGUC